Molecule: long non-coding RNA, 1430 nt
Filed under: Monodelphis domestica (gray short-tailed opossum)
Lineage: Eukaryota; Metazoa; Chordata; Mammalia; Didelphimorphia; Didelphidae
Description: lncRNA (ENSMODG00000051470.1)
Source: RNAcentral
AUGAAUGUGCCCAUUGUCACAGGAAAGUUUAAGAAGAAGAGGAGAGAAAGAUUGUUUUCCCUGUGGAGAGGCCCAGCUUGUGUUGACAAAAAAUCUAUGCAUGAAAGGAACAUACAUCAGAUGCUGAGCAGCUGGAAAUCCUAUGAUAUAGUGUCUUGUCGAUUUUCUGGGGAAAUGGGCCAUUAGGCCAGCUCUCUUAAGAAUAUCAAGGAGGAUCAGAAAAGAAAGCUUGCCCAUAUCAAGGGGGCCUCAAGAAAUUCAGAUACUUAUAUGCCCAUCAGAUACUGUGUGAGAUACCAGGAACCAAAAUACACCCUUUUGUUACCAAAUUUAUUUUUACUUUAUUCAUAGAGGAGAAUGAUAGAGUGAAAAAAGCAUUUGGUAUUGAGUCAGAGGGUUUGAGUUCAAAUUCUACUUUUGUCACUUACUGCAUGAAUUGAGCAAAUUAUUUAAACUUUCUCAACCUCAAUUUCUUCAUUUUUAAAAUGAAGGAGUAGUAGGAAAAAUAAGUCUAGAUCAUCUCUAAGGUUCUUCCCAACUCUAAAUCUAUUAUCACUUAAGAGAGAUGAUAUAUAUUAGUUCUUUUUAAUCAACUAGUCCCUUAUUUUUUUCCUUAUUUUAGGUUGUUGCUAGGAAUGUGUAAUUGAUAAUGUUUAGCUCUAUUAAAAUUUGUUAUUAUACUCAACAAAUGUAUUUGACCCCAAUAUGAUAACCAAUAUGCAUCUGAAAAGCUGAGACCCCAGGACAGAACUACACCAUAUUUUUGGUCAGAAGCAUAAAGCAUCUUGGAAGAUUUUUUAAAUAUAAGCAUCAAAUGAAAAUGUCUGUACACAAAUGAAAGAGAGCUCUCAAGAAGCUUACAUUCUACUUGACAGUAAUAAGUAGACUCAAGGGCUCUUCUAGUCAAGUGGAUUAGGAGGUCCAGCAUCAGUAGGACAGAAAUACAUUCCUAUUUUUUUUUGGCCUCAGUAAAACAGUGUUUUUCUCUGUUGACCAACAUCCUUAGAAAGAACUCUUUGGUUUAAUGGAUAUAUAUCUUGCCAUCCUGCCAUCAGUAAUCUGAACAGCUUGAAAUACUGUCUGUCAUCUUACAUUGCUUUCUUUCUGAAGCAAACACAAUCACUGGGUUGUUUUUCAUUGAUUUAAAAACAUUGACUUGCUGAAGCAUGAGCUUGUGUGCAGUCAUAAUUCUUGUCUUUUCUUCCUCAGCAAAGUCUGUGAUCAUUCUCUGAGUUUUGAACAGGUGUCAUGUAUCAGAUCCAAGUCCUUAAUCAAUGCACUAGAAAGAAUCUUUUCCUUAAGGCCUUGUGUUUACUCCAUUCUCAUUUAUCUUGUGAAAUAUCUUCAAAUGCUUUUUGAAGAUGCUGGAAAAGAGCAGGUUAGCAUUUCCUGGUGGCAAUAAAAGUCAAAGCAUGAGACUCCCUUGUCCA